This 450-nucleotide ribosomal RNA is filed under the name uncultured bacterium. Its description in RNAcentral is "partial 16S ribosomal RNA". It matches the Rfam family "Bacterial small subunit ribosomal RNA", at positions 338 to 795 of the family's 1533-position model. The record is from RNAcentral.
CCUACGGGUGGCUGCAGUGGGGAAUUUUGGACAAUGGGGGCAACCCUGAUCCAGCCAUGCCGCGUGCGGGAAGAAGGCCUUCGGGUUGUAAACCGCUUUCGGCCGGAACGAAAUCGCCGGGGAGAACACCCCCGGUGGAUGACGGUACCGGAAGAAGAAGCACCGGCUAACUACGUGCCAGCAGCCGCGGUAAUACGUAGGGUGCGUGCGUUAAUCGGAAUUACUGCAGGUAGAGCGUGAGCACAGAUUUGGAAGCCCCGGGCUUAACCUGGGAACUGCGUUUGUGACUGGCGGGCUGGAGUGCGGAAGAGGGAGGUGGAAUUCCACGUGUAGCAGUGAAAUGCGUAGAGAUGUGGAGGAACACCGAUGGCGAAGGCAGCCUCCUGGUCUAGCACUGACGCUCAUGCACGAAAGCGUGGGGAGCAAACAGGAUUAGAUACCCCAGUAGUC